GUCACUGCAGCCUCGGAUUUGGACCUCAGAGGAGGGCAGCCAGUCUGCCGGGGAGGGACACAGAGGCCUUGUUAUAAAGUCAUUUACUUCCAUGAUACUUCUCGAAGACUGAACUUUGAGGAAGCCAAAGAAGCCUGCAGGAGGGACGGAGGCCAGCUAGUCAGCAUCGAGUCUGAAGAUGAACAGAAACUGAUAGAAAAGUUCAUUGAAAACCUCUUGCCAUCUGAUGGUGACUUCUGGAUUGGGCUCAGGAGGCGUGAGGAGAAACAAAGCAAUAGCACAGCCUGCCAGGACCUUUAUGCUUGGACUGAUGGCAGCAUAUCACAAUUUAGGAACUGGUAUGUGGAUGAGCCGUCCUGCGGCAGCGAGGUCUGCGUGGUCAUGUACCAUCAGCCAUCGGCACCCGCUGGCAUCGGAGGCCCCUACAUGUUCCGGUGGAAUGAUGACCGGUGCAACAUAAAGAACAAUUUCAUUUGCAAAUAUUCUGAUGUCCAAUCAGAGACCAAAGAACAAGGGAACAAGGAAGCCCCAUUGAAACAGUUUAUAGACCUCAACCUCCCAAGGCACAGAGGAC
RNAcentral lists this small RNA (574 nucleotides) under Pan troglodytes (chimpanzee). RNAcentral describes it as "processed transcript". Lineage: Eukaryota; Metazoa; Chordata; Mammalia; Primates; Hominidae. The record is from RNAcentral.